AGAACGAACGCUGGCGGCGUGGAUAAGACAUGCAAGUCGAGCGAUCAUUAGCUGGUAGCAAUAUUAGCUAGUGGGAGCGGCGCAAGGGUGCGUAACACGUGGGUAAUCUGCCAUGAAGCCCGGGAUAAUUCCGCGAAAGCGGGACUAAUACCGGAUGUGAAUCUGGGGGGGCAUCCCUCUGGGUUUGAAGUUGGGGACCGUAAGGCCUGACACUUCAUGAUGAGCCCGCGGCCUAUCAGCUAGUUGGUGAGGUAACGGCUCACCAAGGCUAAGACGGGUAGCUGGUCUGAGAGGACGACCAGCCACACUGGAACUGAGACACGGUCCAGACACCUACGGGUGGCAGCAGUCGAGAAUUUUUCACAAUGGGGGAAACCCUGAUGGAGCGACGCCGCGUGGGGGAUGAAUGGCUUCGGCCCGUAAACCCCUGUCAUUUGCGAGCAAAGCGUAUUAUUUAAAAGAUGAUGCGUUGAUAGUAGCGGAAGAGGAAGGGACGGCUAACUCUGUGCCAGCAGCCGCGGUAAUACAGAGGUCCCGAGCGUUGUUCGGAUUCACUGGGCGUAAAGGGUGCGUAGGUGGUGAGGUAAGUCGGAUGUGAAAUCCCGGAGCUUAACUCCGGAACGGCAUUGGAAACUACCUUGCUAGAGGUUUGGAGGGGGGACUGGAAUUCUCGGUGUAGCAGUGAAAUGCGUAGAUAUCGAGAGGAACACCAGUGGCGAAGGCGAGUCCCUGGACAACACCUGACACUGAGGCACGAAAGCUAGGGGAGCAAACAGGAUUAGAUACCCUGGUAGUCCUAGCCGUAAACGGUGCACGUUUGCUGUAAGAGAAAUCGACCCCUUUUGUGGCGAAGCCAACGCGAUAAACGUGCCGCCUGGGAAGUACGGUCGCCAGAUC
RNAcentral lists this ribosomal RNA (897 nucleotides) under uncultured bacterium. RNAcentral's name for it is "bacterial SSU rRNA". It matches the Rfam family "Bacterial small subunit ribosomal RNA", at positions 26 to 895 of the family's 1533-position model. The record is from RNAcentral.